ACGGCCUUCGGGUUGUAAACCUCUUUCAGCAGGGACGAAGCGCAAGUGACGGUACCUGCAGAAGAAGCACCGGCCAACUACGUGCCAGCAGCCGCGGUAAUACGUAGGGUGCGAGCGUUGUCCGGAAUUAUUGGGCGUAAAGGGCUCGUAGGCGGUUUGUCACGUCGGGAGUGAAAACUCGGGGCUUAACCCCGAGCCUGCUUCCGAUACGGGCUGACUAGAGGUAUGCAGGGGAGAACGGAAUUCCUGGUGUAGCGGUGAAAUGCGCAGAUAUCAGGAGGAACACCGGUGGCGAAGGCGGUUCUCUGGGCAUUACCUGACGCUGAGGAGCGAAAGUGUGGGGAGCGAACAGGAUUAGAUACCCUGGUAGUCCACACCGUAAACGUUGGGCGCUAGGUGUGGGACUCAUUCCACGAGUUCCGUGCCGCAGCUAACGCAUUAAGCGCCCCGCCUGGGGAGUACGGCCGCAAGGCUAAAACUCAAAGGAAUUGACGGGGGCCUGCACAAGCGGUGGAGUAUGUGGCUUAAUUCGAUGCAACGCGAAGAACCUUACCUGGCCUUGACAUGCAAGUGGUAGAACCAUGAAAGUGGGACGACCCCGCAAGGGGAGCUUGCACAGGUGCUGCAUGGCUGUCGUCAGCUCGUGUCGUGAGAUGUUGGGUUAAGUCCCGCAACGAGCGCAACCCUUGUGUCCUGUUGCCACCUC
This 706-nucleotide ribosomal RNA is filed under the name uncultured Nocardioides sp. RNAcentral describes it as "bacterial SSU rRNA". It matches the Rfam family "Bacterial small subunit ribosomal RNA", at positions 411 to 1124 of the family's 1533-position model. Lineage: Bacteria; Bacillati; Actinomycetota; Actinomycetes; Propionibacteriales; Nocardioidaceae. The record is from RNAcentral.